RNAcentral lists this ribosomal RNA (504 nucleotides) under uncultured bacterium. Its description in RNAcentral is "bacterial SSU rRNA". It matches the Rfam family "Bacterial small subunit ribosomal RNA", at positions 29 to 508 of the family's 1533-position model. The record is from RNAcentral.
AACGAACGCUGGCGGCGUGCCUAACACAUGCAAGUCGAACGAGAAAGGGGCUUCGGCCCUGAGUAAAGUGGCGCACGGGUGAGUAACACGUAGGUAACCUGCCUCCAAGAUUGGGAUAACCCGUCGAAAGAUGGGCUAAUACCGGAUAAGACCACAGUUUCCUCGGAAGCAGGGGUCAAAGGUAGCCUCUAUUUAUAAGCUAUCACUUGGAGAUGGGCCUGCGCACCAUUAGCUAGUUGGUAGGGUAACGGCCUACCAAGGCAAAGAUGGUUAGCUGGUCUGAGAGGAUGAUCAGCCACACUGGAACUGAGACACGGUCCAGACUCCUACGGGAGGCAGCAGUGGGGAAUAUUGCGCAAUGGGCGAAAGCCUGACGCAGCAACGCCGCGUGAGUGAUGAAGGCCUUCGGGUCGUAAAGCUCUGUCGGAGGGAACGAACGUUUUCGGGGUUAACAGCCUCGGGAAGUGACGGUACCUUCAAAGGAAGCACCGGCUAACUCUGUGC